UUUCCCUCCCCUUCCCCCUCUCCCUCCUCCUCCUCCUCCUUCUGCUUCUCCUGCUGCAGUGGACAUAACGGAGCGGUGUCGUGGUAGGAGGAUAAACAGGAGGGCCAGUCUGCUUUCUCGCCUUAAAAGUCAACUGUUUGCUUGUUGAAGGAGUCAAGAAAACGAUCCCUGGCUUCUGAUACAGUGGGUUGCUUGACGCGGGCAGCUGAGUCCUCGAGGAGCGUCCUUGUGGCGGCUGCUCACUCCACUUUCGAGGAACAAGUGGUGUCCCGUCAUGUGGCAGCCGCUGUCACUGCCACCUGGAUCACCGGAGCGACCAGCCUCACCUGUCUAGUUUUCGCCAGUCUGUUGUGAGUGGGAGGCGGCGAAGUGUCAGAGGGUGGUCACUCUUGAUGCAUCCAGGCCACCAGGUGAAGGGGACGCAAACACAGGGGAUGCAGAGGACAAAGACCCGCCAGCUUACGACGCCAUGUACCCUGUGAAAGCAUCAAAGUUGUCCCAAAGGCGUUCCUCUCCUGCAGAAGGGGAAACGACUCAGACCACCUUCAGGAUGCCACGAAAAGAAGUUGAGAGAAGUGGAAGUGAUGGACUGAAGGGAAGGAAGGCAACGUGUGGGUGUGAAGGGAAGGUAGCCACUGAUGGGACCCCGCAGAAUGUUAAGGAGGAUGAAAGGAGUGAAGAGGAAAAGAAGGAAGGAUUGUGUACAGAAUGCAUUACAAGUUCAGCAACAAUGGAGGUUUUACGGGACUUCUGCACCAAGACCACAGCUCACGGCUUCAACCACGUCGUGAAGAGUGAACAGCCUUUCCUGCUGCGGGUCUUCUGGGUGCUUGUGAUCAGCGUUGGAAUUCUGAUGCUGAUUUCCGCCUCGUACGAAGUGACGUACUCCUCCCUCAUCGCCCAGCGGCCCUCCAUUGAGAUCGUGUACCGGGACCUGUACAGCACCGGCAUGCGGGUUCCCUUCAUUACCAUCUGCAGCCUGGCGGGGUUCUGGAAGUCCAAGUUGACGAAGCACAACGUGAGUGACGCCCUGGCCUCGUACUUGCUGUUGGCGGUGCGGGGGACGGAGAUCAUCAGCCCUGCCUUUGAGACCAACCCGGCGAGGAAGACAGUGCUAAAAGGGGAGCUUGAUGCCUACUUGAAGGAUCACCAUCUUACUCUCAGCGAGAUGGUUACCCUGCUGUCGCCUAGGCUGGAGUGCUGCCGGGAGGUUCUCAAACCCACACUGACGGGGCUGGGGCAGUGCUACACGACCCGCAGCCCUCAAGGGAACGCCAUCCUUCAGCAGACCUUCGCGGGGCUCCUCGGAGGGUACAAGGUUAUCUUCGCUGUCAACACUAGUGAACAGAUCAUAUACGACUCCCGAAUCGUGUCUUCCCCGUCCUUGGCCGAGGCUGGGAUUCACGUGUCACUGUCCAACUUUGACCUCAGUCCCUCAGUGGCCACCAGCAUGCAGCCCCUCCGCGUGGCGCCCAACAUUGCUGCCUCCGUCGCCGUUUCCUACACCUCGCUGAACAAGAGGGAGCGGUACAAGGGAGCGUUGCCGUGGUCCGUGCCUUCCUGCGUCACCGAGGAGAGUUUCUGGAAUCUGACGGAGGAGGAACGCUCAAAAAUCCACCACAACUUCUUCUUCCACAUCUUCUACAGGACGUGCCCGCUGCUGCUCACCAACUGCACCCUGCUGGCGCGGAGGUUCACCAAUGACACGACUGCCGAGUGUCAUCCUUCAGACAUCCUCAACCACAAAGUAAUGGACGACCAGAUGACCCGCUGCCUGGACGACCACCUCCACAAAGACGCGAGCGAGAACAAACUGUGUGAGGUGACGGAGGUGACGCAACAGAUGAGCCACACCACGCUGGUCCCCGAGAUGCUGGAAGCGCACGAGGGCAUCACCGUCAUCCCGGAUCUCACAUACUCGAUGAUCAACAUUUACUACACCCAGCUGGGGUACACCGAGCACAAAGAGAACAUUCCAACUGUCUUCACCUGGUUCAGUGGCCUCGGCGGGCAGAUGGGGCUGUUCCUCGGGGCGUCUGUCAUCACCCUUGUCGAGGUCUACUUCACACUCUGCCGCGUCUUUCAGAUUCUCCUCACUGCCUUCGUCGCCACCUUCUGCAGGGGGAUCAGGAGGUGCCUCGGGGUGUUUCGGGACUCAAACCUCUCUACCUGAAGUGUUUAGUCGACAGAUCCCAUUAUUCAGUCUGUGUGUCGUUGCUGGAGAGUCUAGCGCACCUUCAGACUCCCCUCGUAGUAUACACGUGGGUGGAUGGCGGCAGACUAUCAAAAGACGACCUUAUCUGGUGAUUUCGCUUAACUACAAGAAAGGGCACUCCGCUGGUUUGCCCGAUAAUUUUGCUUGAACAACGGGCAUUAAGCAAGUACCUCCCUCUAUCUCUGUUGCUCCCCAAUCAAGGUGGGAAGCACGUUCUAACUUGGAGCUCGUUCAAGUACCCGUCAGGUCGUGUGGACGGGGCCUGAUUGGUUCUUGAGUUCUGCUGGCGACGGACUCGGCAGACAACAGUGGUUAGUCGUGACGUGGAAAUGAAUUAUUUCCUUCCAUCCUUACCUCUCCCUCUCUCUCCUACUUUUCCACCUUUCCCUCCCUUCCUCUCACCGUCAUGUCAUAUCCUGUUCUUUCGUAGUUCUAUCUUAACUUUUUUUUUUUCAUCGUUAAUUCCUCUACGUAAAUAUUGUUUUCCUUUAUAUCAUUAAAUUCCAACCGUAAGUAUUCCAACAAGUUCUAUCUUCACCUUUUUAAUCUUUAAUCCCCCUACGUAAUCCUUGCUUUCUUUUACUCUACUCGUAUAAUAUAUUCUAAUCGCUUUCUUUUACUCUAUAAUAUAUUUUAAUCCCUAUUCUACCUAUAGUGUAUCUAUAUUCUCCUAGACGUAGUUAGCCAGUGUUAGUAGUAACAAUAGUUCAGUAGACACCCUUCUUAAAGACCCACAGCUCGUUGAAACAUAUCUAUUUUUAUCUCUCGUAAUAUCUAUCUCUAUAUCUGCCUGUCUCUCCCUCCCUCCCUCCCUCUCCUGACACAUUCCUCUCUUCUGGAACAUGUCUGAAAGCCUUAUCAGUUUGGUCUCGCCCCCUCCUGAUCCUAUGGUGCAUUCCAGCUCUUAUCUCAGCGACAGUCUUGUUUUAAUGGGGUCCAGGAGUCAAUUUCGCCUUUGUCCUGCAGAGUUAUGGGUGAUACUUGUCUCGUAGCUUGUGAGGUCUCGAGCUUUCUCCGUCCGUCCGUCUGUCUGCUCCUUAUUUGAUCCCGCUAACCUUUCCUUUCUAUUUCUCUUCUGUAUAUUUUUUCAUCCGUUUAUUCUCAUCGUCUAUACCUUGUUCUUGUGUAUUUUCUUCUAUACUUAUCUCCGUGUCUUUUCUUCGUCCAUAUCUUAUUGCGAGUAUCUACGCACCCGUCCUUCUGAAGUUUAAAGCAGUGAUUCUCCUUGUUUUAUCUGGUCUUUGGCGACUUCUCAUACAAGACCCUUCCUUAUCCACGGCUCCCAUCUGGCAACACCUGUAUUUGUGAUAUAUUUGUUUUUGAUGGAUGUUAUUUAUAAAUAUAUUUAUUUACUAAUAGACGUAUAUUUAUGGAGACAUUUGGUCAGAUUUAUGCGUUUAUUUGCAAGGUGAUCUGAUGCGACGUGUGGCAGCACUACUCUGGGAUGUACAGCACCGUGAUAAUACCACCCACAAACACCACCAUGUGGGUAAUACUGAUAAUAAUAAUGGAUUCAAGACUGAUGGAAGAGAGACCAAGGUUUUUCAGGAAGGUUGAUGUAAAGCUUCAAAAGUAGAAAGAUGAAUUUCUGAUAGGAAUGAUAUAGUAGUUAUAUUCUGUAACUGUAGUCUCUCCUAAAAAUACAAAUUCAGGAAUUAUAUAAAAGCUGUUAAUGUCAAUGGAGAAAGUCUCUCGAACACCAAGCUCCGUGAUUAGGAUGAAUUUUCAGAGUGUGGUAUAGGUUUGUCUAAACGGGGCAGCCAUAACCAUUACGUGAAUAGAGAUUCUCCAUCUAGUUAGCAGUUGUGGUGGUGGCGGCUCAUCUCAGCCAGAAUGACAUGGGCUGAUUCAUUCGGGACAGAUUUAUAUAUAAUUUUGGCCACCACGCUUGACCAGUUAGGUGGCACGGGCGUGUCAUCUGAAGCCAUCCUUGAGAGGCGGUGGGGGCGCGUCACCAGCAUCUACACAGCGAGGCGCGUCACUAGCAUCCGUCCAGCGAGGCGCACGGGGCGCGUCACCAGUAUCCAUCCAGCGAGGCGUACUGGGCGUGUCAUCUGCAUCCAUCCAGCGAGGCGCACGAGAGGGUGAUGCUGUGAAGCUGGCGCAACAGGAGCUGACCAGUGCUGAAGGAGGACACCACACAGCAGCAGCAGCAUCACUGUGAGGGAAGACAGCUCUGGAGGAGUGAACAGCUGCACCAUUGACUGCAGCAGAACUUCACCAUUGCUGAAUACUUAUGCUGCUGCUGCUGCUGCUGCUGCUGCUGCUGCUACUACUACUACUACUACUACUGCUGCU
RNA transcript from Scylla paramamosain (green mud crab), 4513 nucleotides. It is a transcript of the gene named acid-sensing ion channel 1-like, with no coding region annotated. Lineage: Eukaryota; Metazoa; Arthropoda; Malacostraca; Decapoda; Portunidae. The transcript has 17 exons. The record is from RefSeq and is a predicted model, not a curated record.